RNAcentral lists this ribosomal RNA (305 nucleotides) under uncultured bacterium. RNAcentral describes it as "bacterial SSU rRNA". It matches the Rfam family "Bacterial small subunit ribosomal RNA", at positions 333 to 655 of the family's 1533-position model. The record is from RNAcentral.
UUGGUCCUACGGGGCGCAGCAGUGGGGAAUAUUGCACAAUGGGGGAAACCCUGAUGCAGCAACGCCGCGUGAGUGAAGAAGUAUUUCGGUAUGUAAAGCUCUAUCAGCAGGGAAGAAAAUGACAGUACCUGACUAAGAAGCCCCGGCUAACUACGUGCCAGCAGCCGCGGUAAUACGUAGGGGGCAAGCGUUAUCCGGAUUUACUGGGUGUAAAGGGAGCGUAGACGGCUGUGCAAGUCAGAAGUGAAAGCCCGGGGCUCAACCGCGGGACUGCUUUUGAAACUGUGUAGCUGGAGUGCAGGAGG